CGCUGUAUAGCUCAGGGGUUUGAGCGGGUGCCCCAUAUGCAGAGGCUGCAGUCCUCGCUGCAGCUGGCCCCCGUUCGAUUCCCGAGUCCAGUGA
Caranx melampygus (bluefin trevally) is the source of this 94-nucleotide non-coding RNA. NCBI's taxonomy places the organism in Eukaryota, Metazoa, Chordata, Actinopteri, Carangiformes, Carangidae. The record is from the annotation of a GenBank genome assembly.